Long non-coding RNA from Oncorhynchus keta (chum salmon), 410 nucleotides. RefSeq lists it as uncharacterized. The record is from RefSeq and is a predicted model, not a curated record. Lineage: Eukaryota; Metazoa; Chordata; Actinopteri; Salmoniformes; Salmonidae. The transcript has 3 exons.
AUGUUAGGUCUUCUACCCCCUGGUCUGUGAUGUCAUGUUAGGUCUUCUACCCCCUGGUCUGUGAUGUCAUGUUAGGUCUUCUACCCCCUGGUCUGUGAUGUCAUGUUAGGUCUUCUACCCCCUGGUCUGUGAUGUCAUGUUAGGUCUUCUACCCCCUGGUCUGUGAUGUCAUGUUAGGUCUUCUACCCCCUGGUCUGUGAUGUCAUGUUAGGUCUUCUACCCCCUGGUCUGUGAUGUCAUGUUAGGUCUUCUACCCCCUGGUCUGUGAUGUCAUGUUAGGUCUUCUACCCCCUGGUCUGUGAUGUCAUGUUAGGUCUUCUACCCCCUGGUCUGUGAUGUCAUGUUAGGUCUUCUACCCCCUGGUCUGUGAUGACGUUGUUGCACCAAUGCUCUGUGUUGUCCUAACUUCC